Acanthosepion pharaonis is the source of this 115-nucleotide non-coding RNA. The record is from the annotation of a GenBank genome assembly. Lineage: Eukaryota; Metazoa; Mollusca; Cephalopoda; Sepiida; Sepiidae.
UUGCGUCCAUAUCAUGCUGAGAACAUCGGUUCCCGUGUGAUCACAGAAGUUAAGCAACGCCGAGCCUGGUUAGUACCUAGACGGGUUAUCGAUUGGGAAUCCCAUGUGCUGUAUG